UGGUGGAGUGAUUUGUCUGGUUAAUUCCGUUAACGAACGAGACCGCUGCCUGCUAAAUAGUUCCAUGAGUGUUCUAUACUGAUGUGGACUUCUUAGAGGGACGUGCAUUCUAUUAGAUGCAGGAGGAUAGCGGCAAUAACA
Molecule: ribosomal RNA, 141 nt
Filed under: uncultured eukaryote
Lineage: Eukaryota
Description: partial 18S ribosomal RNA
Rfam family: Eukaryotic small subunit ribosomal RNA
Source: RNAcentral